Molecule: long non-coding RNA, 1587 nt
Organism: Anolis carolinensis (green anole)
Lineage: Eukaryota; Metazoa; Chordata; Lepidosauria; Squamata; Anolidae
Source: Ensembl
UAUGACAGUGUUGUGUGAAAAUCAAUAAAAAGGAUGGAGAGGGUCAGGGAGCUCCCUCCUUGGGCCACCUGGGGAUGGGGACAAGCUGCAAAAGGGUCUUUUUUCUGUCAGGAGCAACCUGAGUCGCUUCUGGAGUGAGAGAAUUGGCCGUCUGCAAGGACGUUGCCCAGGGGACGCCCGGAUGUUUUGAUGCAAGGAUGGUAAAACAUCAAAACAUCCGGGCACCCCCGGGCAACGUCCUUGCAGAUGGCCAAUUCUCUCACUCCAGAAGCAACUCCGGUUGCUCCUGACACACACACACACACAAAAUCAAUCUAUUUUGGAAAAUGGAAAUCUCCAUAACCUUUUGGAGAUUUUAUUAUCUUUGAAAAGGCAUGACCUUGUUAGAACUCAUAACCUUUUGAAAAAUGAUGCCAUGACCUCUUGGUAAAAUGCAUGAUUUGUUGGAGUCAUAACCUUUUGGAAAAUGGCAUUCAUGAAAGGCAAUCAGGUUUCUCAGCUGUUAAACUGAUGUGCCUAUGUAUGUCUUUAAACUGUUAGGGACAAAGAUAUGCCAAUGCACAAAACACACACACACACAUAUAUAGCAGAGUUUCAGAAGUGUUCUUUUAGUUGCCCAAAAACAUCUACUCUACCUUAAAAUAUAUUUGCCUUUAAAUCAUGCUCUCAAGAGACAAAUUUAUUUAUUUAUUUAUGAUCUUUCUAUCCCACCUUUCUCUACCCUGAACAUGACUCAAGGUGGCUUUACAGAUAGGCAGCUUUUUGAUGAUUAAAAAACAAUACAAAACUACAAUGGACAUUUAAAAAGAAUAAUAAAAUACAAUUAAAAACAAUUAGAGGCAAUUAAAAACAAUACAAUCACAGUUAAUUAAGUAAUCCGCAAGCAUAAUCCGGGCUGUUCCUACGGUCAAUACAUGUCACUUCAUAUCUGUAUAUUGUACUGGUUUCUCCAAAGGCCACGUUUUUACUCUUUUAUGGAAGAUUAUAAGGGAGGGGGCUUAUCUAAUAUCCCUGGGGAGGGAGUUCCAUAGCCGAGGGGCCACCACUGAGAAGGCCCUGUCUCUCAUCCCCACCAAAAAUGGGUAGACUUCUUUAAAGGUAGCAUAGUUGGUUUACUCACAAACUUCAUGUAUUCAGCAUACAGAUACUUUGCUUAUCAAUCCAGUUACAAAUAGAUUUGAAGUAGUUUCUCUGUGUAAGUAAUACAGCUAAUCUUUCUUGAAUCUUAACAGUCCAUAAUCUAAAGCAUCUCCCUGUUCUGAGAGUCUAAUAGAGUCUCUGUCUAGUCUGAAAGUCCAAUUGAGUCUCUAAGGCAUUCAGUUUCCUACUGAAGUCUAAGGCAUACAGUUUCCUGAGGGCAUCUGAAUGCAUACUGAAGUCUCUAAGCAUACAUCUAAAAUGGAGUCUGAGUCCUGAACAAGCCCAGAUCUUAUCACAUGGUCUGCAGCCCAUCCCACAACAAAGAGUUAGGAGCCUCCGGUGGCCUAGGGGAUAAAAGCCUUAUGACUUGAAGGUUUGGUUGCUGACCUGAAAGCUGCCAGGUUUGAAUCCCACCCGGGGAGAGUGCAGAUGAGCUCCCUCUUUCAG